RNAcentral lists this ribosomal RNA (311 nucleotides) under uncultured Paenibacillus sp. RNAcentral's name for it is "bacterial SSU rRNA". It matches the Rfam family "Bacterial small subunit ribosomal RNA", at positions 34 to 339 of the family's 1533-position model. Lineage: Bacteria; Bacillati; Bacillota; Bacilli; Caryophanales; Paenibacillaceae. The record is from RNAcentral.
CGCUGGCGGCGUGCCUAAUACAUGCAAGUCGAGCGGAUCUUGUCCUUCGGGACAAGGUUAGCGGCGGACGGGUGAGUAACACGUAGGCAACCUGCCCUCAAGACUGGGAUAACCUCCGGAAACGGAUGCUAAUACCGGAUAUGCGGUUUCUCCUCCUGGAGAGACCGGGAAAGACGGAGCAAUCUGUCGCUUGGGGAUGGGCCUGCGGCGCAUUAGCUAGUUGGUGAGGUAACGGCUCACCAAGGCGACGAUGCGUAGCCGACCUGAGAGGGUGAUCGGCCACACUGGGACUGAGACACGGCCCAGACUCC